GGAAGAGUAUCCGUUCUUCUAAGGUGGCCGCUCC
Molecule: small RNA, 34 nt
Filed under: Bombyx mori (domestic silkworm)
Lineage: Eukaryota; Metazoa; Arthropoda; Insecta; Lepidoptera; Bombycidae
Description: ovarian small RNA-17209
Source: RNAcentral